RNAcentral lists this transfer RNA (85 nucleotides) under Didymella heteroderae. It matches the Rfam family "tRNA". Rfam says of the family: Transfer RNA (tRNA) molecules are approximately 80 nucleotides in length. Their secondary structure includes four short double-helical elements and three loops (D, anti-codon, and T loops). Lineage: Eukaryota; Fungi; Ascomycota; Dothideomycetes; Pleosporales; Didymellaceae. The record is from Rfam by way of RNAcentral.
GCCCGUUUGGCUUAGUGGUACAGCGUCUCACUCGUAUACCAAAAUUGACAUGAGAAGAUCCUCGGUUCGAUUCCGAGAAUGGGCA